RNAcentral lists this ribosomal RNA (428 nucleotides) under uncultured bacterium. Its description in RNAcentral is "bacterial SSU rRNA". It matches the Rfam family "Bacterial small subunit ribosomal RNA", at positions 30 to 463 of the family's 1533-position model. The record is from RNAcentral.
AUUGAACGCUGGCGGCAUGCCUUACACAUGCAAGUCGAACGGCAGCACGGGAGCAAUCCUGGUGGCGAGUGGCGAACGGGUGAGUAAUAUAUCGGAACGUGCCCGGUCGUGGGGGAUAACGUAGCGAAAGCUACGCUAAUACCGCAUACGAUCUACGGAUGAAAGCGGGGGAUCGCAAGACCUCGCGCGAUUGGAGCGGCCGAUAUCAGAUUAGGUAGUUGGUGAGGUAAGGCUCACCAAGCCGACGAUCUGUAGCUGGUCUGAGAGGACGACCAGCCACACUGGGACUGAGACACGGCCCAGACUCCUACGGGAGGCAGCAGUGGGGAAUUUUGGACAAUGGGCGCAAGCCUGAUCCAGCAAUGCCGCGUGCAGGAUGAAGGCCUCGGUGUAACUGUCUUUGUACGGUAACGGAAACGGUAGGUAGC